AUGUACUUUUCACAAGUUUGUGAGAACAGAAUGGAAGAAACAAUAUUUUGGAUGCUGGAACAAUUUACUCAGAACAACCAGAAGCCAACACUGCAGAAGCUGAACCAGGGUAAACCAACAUCAAGCAACAUUCACGCUGCCAAACCAUGGGGCCACUGUUUGGCCAGCUGCUUUUUCAGGCAUUUUUGUCUCCUGCUUUGCUUUACCACACAGCUCCACAAGUACUUGUGCCAGCCAGCAAGUCAGGAACAAGCCAGCGACCACUGCUCAAAAUGCCUCACCAAGUCCUGGCCAACACAUGCCAUCAGGGUCUCAGCUCCUAUCCCCAAUGUCCUGCAGAACAGCCCCUCUCUGCCCUGUCCCUCCCCAUCGGUCUCUGCAAGCUAUGGGAAGAUGCCCAUGAGAUCAUUAAUCAAUGGCUUUUAAAGGCUUUUGUGUUCAAAGUAGGGCUGGAACUUCAGAGUUCCCCUUCUGAGCCCAAAUGUAGUUACCGCUCUGCAGCUGUUUUGAGAAAAGACAGCAGCUCAGAAGCCAGCCCUUGAAAAGCUACCUGAAUCCUAACACAAAAUGGCACCGAUGACAAGAGACACAAAACCAACGACAAGAAGGGACUCAAAGCUAUCGGAAGUCUUCCAGUCUUCCUCUUCCUUUGCUUUUCAUCUGAACAUGACUGGGAUGAGGGAAUGGACUUCCCUCCACAUAACCUUCUUACUGUUAGCAACCAGAGCUUUAAAAAAAAAAAACAAAAAAAAACCUACCAUGCAGCACAUAAAAAAAAAAACCCACCACUUAAAAAAUGUCACAUCAAAGGUAAGAAAAUUAGAAAUGUGUGAAAAGGAAACAAAAAUGCGUGGACUAUUUCAGACAAUUUUCUGUGAUUAAGAAACAUGUGGGAUGCCACAUGCAUUUUCACAUAGGGGAAAGCAAGUGUUUAACACCACUGCUUAACCGUAGUCUAAAAACCAUCAGCAGCACUGCAGUAGGCUCUAGCGUAACCAGACCGGUGUUUUGGUGCUUGUGCGUGUCGUGAGAAACUUUGCUGGUUAGGCACAGCACAAAAAGAAAAAAAAAAUAGAAUAGAAAAGAAUAGAAAAGAAAUAAAAUGUUCUACUAAAUGCA
RNAcentral lists this long non-coding RNA (1119 nucleotides) under Anas platyrhynchos platyrhynchos (common mallard). RNAcentral describes it as "lncRNA (ENSAPLG00000020128.1)". The record is from RNAcentral. Lineage: Eukaryota; Metazoa; Chordata; Aves; Anseriformes; Anatidae.